Molecule: ribosomal RNA, 321 nt
Filed under: Actinomycetota bacterium
Lineage: Bacteria; Bacillati; Actinomycetota
Description: bacterial SSU rRNA
Rfam family: Bacterial small subunit ribosomal RNA
Source: RNAcentral
AGUUCGGAGAGUUUGAUCCUGGCUCAGGACGAACGCUGACGGUGUGCUUUAGACAUGCAAGUCGAACGCGAAAGCCCUUCGGGGCGAGUAGAGUGGCGAACGGGUGAGUAACACGUGGGUAACCUGCCCCUCGCAGGGGGAUAACCGGGGGAAACCCCGGCUAAUAGCCCGUACGCUCGUUGGGCCGCAUGGCUCUUCGAGGAAAGGUAGCUUCGGCCAUCCGGCGAGGGAUGGGCCCGCGGUACAUUAGCUAGUUGGUGGGGUAACGGCUCACCAAGGCAACGAUGUAUAGCUGGUCUGAGAGGAUGAUCAGCCACACUG